AGGACGAACGCUGGCGGCGUGCUUAACACAUGCAAGUCGAACGGUGACCCAGGGCUUGCCCUGGUGAUCAGUGGCGAACGGGUGAGUAACACGUGGGCAACCUGCCCCAGACUCUGGGAUAACUCCGGGAAACCGGGCUAAUACCGGAUACGACUUGAGUAGGCAUCUACUUGAGUGGAAAGUUUUUCGGUCUGGGAUGGGCCCGCGGCCUAUCAGCUUGUUGGUGGGGUAAUGGCCUACCAAGGCGACGACGGGUA
RNAcentral lists this ribosomal RNA (257 nucleotides) under uncultured bacterium. RNAcentral's name for it is "partial small subunit ribosomal RNA". It matches the Rfam family "Bacterial small subunit ribosomal RNA", at positions 26 to 285 of the family's 1533-position model. The record is from RNAcentral.